Molecule: non-coding RNA, 73 nt
Organism: Ciona savignyi (Pacific transparent sea squirt)
Lineage: Eukaryota; Metazoa; Chordata; Ascidiacea; Phlebobranchia; Cionidae
Source: Rfam
GACCGCAUGGCCUAAUGGUUAUGGCGUCUGACUUCGAAUCAGAAGAUUGAGGGUUCGAGUCCCUCUGUGGUCU